CGGGAGGCAGCAGUGGGGAAUUUUGGACAAUGGGGGAAACCCUGAUCCAGCCAUGCCGCGUGAGUGAAGAAGGCCCUAGGGUCGUAAAGCUCUUUCGCCUGUGAUGAUAAUGACAGUAGCAGGUAAAGAAACCCCGGCUAACUCCGUGCCAGCAGCCGCGGUAAUACGGAGGGGGUUAGCGUUGUUCGGAAUUACUGGGCGUAAAGCGCGCGUAGGCGGAUUAGAAAGUUGGGGGUGAAAUCCCGGGGCUCAACCCCGGAACUGCCUUCAAAACUCCCAGUCUAGAGUUCGAGAGAGGUGAGUGGAAUUCCGAGUGUAGAGGUGAAAUUCGUAGAUAUUUGGAGGAACACCAGUGGCGAAGGCGGCUCACUGGCUCGAUACUGACGCUGAGGUGCGAAAGUGUGGGGAGCAAACAGGAUUAGAUACCCUGGUAGUCCACGCCCUAAACGAUGUCUAUUAGUUGUUGGGUCUUCAUUGACUUAGUAACGAAGCUAACGCGUGAAAUAGACCGCCUGGGGAGUACGGCCGCAAGGUUAAAACUCAAAUGAAUUGACGGGGGCCCGCACAAGCGGUGGAGCAUGUG
RNAcentral lists this ribosomal RNA (583 nucleotides) under Alexandrium tamarense. RNAcentral's name for it is "partial Bacterial small subunit ribosomal RNA". It matches the Rfam family "Bacterial small subunit ribosomal RNA", at positions 342 to 943 of the family's 1533-position model. The record is from RNAcentral. Lineage: Eukaryota; Dinophyceae; Gonyaulacales; Pyrocystaceae.